GGAUAACCUACCCUUAGGACCGGGAUAACCCUGGGAAACUGGGGAUAAUACCGGAUAGGCAAUUAUUCCUGUAAUGGUUUUUUGUUUAAAUGUUUUUUCGCCUAAGGAUGGGUCUGCGGCUGAUUAGGUCGUUGGUGGGGUAAUGGCCCACCAAGCCGAUGAUCGGUACGGGUUGUGAGAGCAAGGGCCCGGAGAUGGAACCUGAGACAAGGUUCCAGACCCUACGGGGUGCAGCAGGCGCGAAACCUCCGCAAUGUACGAAAGUGCGACGGGGGGAUCCCAAGUGUUACGCUUUUUUGUAUGACUUUUCAUUAGUGUAAAAAGCUUUUAGAAUAAGAGCUGGGCAAGACCGGUGCCAGCCGCCGCGGUAACACCGGCAGCUCGAGUGGUAGCUGUUUUUAUUGGGCCUAAAGCGUUCGUAGCCGGUUUGAUAAGUCUUUGGUGAAAGCUUGUAGCUUAACUAUAAGAAUUGCUGGAGAUACUAUUAGACUUGAAGUCGGGAGAGGUUAGAGGUACUACCGGGGUAGGGGUGAAAUCCUAUAAUCCUGGGAGGACCACCUGUGGCGAAGGCGUCUAACUGGAACGAUCUUGACGGUGAGUAACGAAAGCCAGGGGCGCGAACCGGAUUAGAUACCCGGGUAGUCCUGGCCGUAAACGAUGUGGACUUGGUGUUGGAAUGGCUUUGAGUUGUUCCGGUGCCGAAGGGAAGCUGUUAAGUCCACCGCCUGGGAAGUACGGUCGCAAGACUGAAACUUAA
Molecule: ribosomal RNA, 757 nt
Filed under: uncultured archaeon
Lineage: Archaea
Description: bacterial SSU rRNA
Rfam family: Archaeal small subunit ribosomal RNA
Source: RNAcentral